Molecule: ribosomal RNA, 413 nt
Filed under: Marinilactibacillus sp. RKVR_D73
Lineage: Bacteria; Bacillati; Bacillota; Bacilli; Lactobacillales; Carnobacteriaceae
Description: bacterial SSU rRNA
Rfam family: Bacterial small subunit ribosomal RNA
Source: RNAcentral
GCUUGCAGAGAAUGGAUUAGUGGCGAACGGGUGAGUAACACGUGGGUAACCUGCCCAUAAGAGGGGGAUAACAUCCGGAAACGGAUGCUAAUACCGCAUAUCUCUUCGAGACGCCUGUCUCUUAGAUGAAAGGUGGCUUCGGCUACCACUUAUGGAUGGACCCGCGGCGUAUUAGCUAGUUGGUGAGGUAAUGGCUCACCAAGGCUGUGAUACGUAGCCGACCUGAGAGGGUGAUCGGCCACACUGGGACUGAGACACGGCCCAGACUCCUACGGGAGGCAGCAGUAGGGAAUCUUCCACAAUGGGUGCAAACCUGAUGGAGCAAUACCGCGUGAGUGAAGAAGGUCUUCGGAUCGUAAAGCUCUGUUGUUAGAGAAGAACAAGUCGGGUAGUAACCUGCCCCGACCUGAACG